This is a long non-coding RNA of Platichthys flesus (European flounder), 1340 nucleotides long. RefSeq lists it as uncharacterized. NCBI's taxonomy places the organism in Eukaryota, Metazoa, Chordata, Actinopteri, Pleuronectiformes, Pleuronectidae. The record is from RefSeq and is a predicted model, not a curated record. The transcript is spliced from 2 exons.
GCUGCCAGUUGCUUCAUCCAUUUCUCCAAAGGCAACAAGCUAAUCUGAAGCUAGCGGCUAAUGGUAAUAAUUGUAUGUUUCACAUAUCAUGAGUUGACCUUCUCCUGAAAAAUCAAGUUUAGUUAAGUUUACUUGACUCUUCUGCCUGAGACCUACGAGUUAGAAUGUAGAAGAAAUAUUUACAGUAAUUCUUUAGCAAACUAGCUCAUUAGAGAACGUGCUAAUUGGAAGCUAGCAUGAUAGUUUAUUUGCAUUUCCUUCACUCUCCAUUUUUCUUUCUUUGUCAAGUUGAAAUCUUCUGAUCGAUCUUAAACACUUGGACAGGGACAGACAUGGUUUUUGUUCAAUAACAAUUUUCAAAAUAAAAUGUAGUCGUAUGGAUCUAUCAAUCAAUACAAUUUUAUUUGUAUAGCCCAUAUUCACAAAUCACAAUUAGUCUCACAGGGCUUUAACGAGGUGAGACAUCCUGUGGCCUUGCAUGAAGCGGAGGGAAGAUGUGGUGGACGUUGUGUUCCUCAAUGUACAGCUGUGUUCCAGAUGCUGAAUCCUGGAACUGCACUACUUACCAGGACUAUGCAGACAGUGUCUUUGUCCAUAUGCAAAAUCUAAGCUUGAGAAGACAAGCUAAUAUCAUCUUGGCGGUUGACAUCCCUGACAGAAGGUCGAGGGAAUCAAAGCAGUGCAGAGACUUCCGCGUGUUGGUCAGAAAAAGAAAAGCUGUUCAGACUCAGCCGUGAGGAACAUGAGAGAUUAGGAAGCUUCCCCUGAAGUGUUAGGGUUAGAGCCUGCAGUGAGCUCAUGAGUUACCAGGGGAUGUGAGGGAACGGUCCAAGUCCCUGUUGGAGCGCUUUGUGGGGUUGAUGUAUGGCAGGACGAGUGGAACCAUGGAGUGUGAUGGAAUCCACCUUCGCUCCCAGGCAGCAGACGCUGGUUUAAUGGGCUCGAUCGGCAGUGAUGGAAAAGUGACUGUGGAGGUGGAGGUAGCUGGGAGAGCCCUUCACCUCCACCCGAGGAUCAAUCAGAGCAGGGGAGAGCUGUCAGCUGACUGAUCCUCAGGUUGAACAGACAUCGACACGUGAGAGACUCUGAGCUGCAGAGCUUCAGAUUCACUUUAUCAGAUUCUUUGUGUUUAUAUGAUUUAAAAAUCUGGAUCAACAUGAACACGAUUCAGCUGAACAUCUGUCUGACAGCAGCUGGAAGAGAACGCAGACAUAGAAAGUCAAGUUUUUUUUAAAGAUUUUAUUCUAUCGUAUUUUUCAUGAACGUCAUGACAACACAGACAUAAACUUUAUCCAUUUGUCUGCAGCUGUAAAACAAAGACAAGCUCCGCCCCCUCCAAC